GAGAGGAAUUUCUGGAGAAUAUCAAGGAGCUGGGAGGAGAAGCUACAGAAGGGUUGCAGCAGCUGGGGGCAAUAAUAGAUUUAAUAGAGCAGGAAGGGCAGCAGAUCAGUUAGGUCUUUUACUUCAAGGAAAUGACAUGUAGAGUCCCAUUCCGUUCUCACUAUGAUAAAUCAGGGGUCAGCCGGGCUCUGAUUGGAACCACCUAGAAACCACACCCCCGAAUAGCUUUCCAGCAGCUGAGAAUUCACGGAAGAGAAAAGAGAUGGGAUCAUGCCCAAUGCCACCAGCACAAAGGAUCCAUCUGCCUCCAGAAUGAAAGUUUCACCUUUCAGGCAUAGGAAAUGUAAUCUGUUAUGGAACACCUGGGCCAUUUAAAGACACCAUGAUGCAGAGUGGUGCCAACUGUUUUUCUUCUGAAGGAAAAGCACAAUGACCAAAGAAACGCCUACAAACGAGUUACUGUUCCUCUCACAAUACAGUAUUGGAAUAGACUGUUUGUUACUCGCAUAACAUUCUACUGAAAUACAUUUUUGGCACUCUUCCAAAUGGCAUUAAAACUGUGCAAUACAAUGAAAAUGUAAAUUUCAGUGGAGAUCUUAUAAAAAAGCUUUUAGCCUAUCUCAAUGUCUAUUCUUAAUUUAGUUAAGGAAAUAAGUUGAUGAAACAGAAUUGGCUGGAGAAGAUCUUUAUCUCCUAGAAAAAGUCACUUCCAGAAAGCACCGGCCUUUUAACAGGGAUCACAUUAUCAUAAUCAUCGGCAAAAUUGAAUGCCCCAAAUCCUAAUAAAAUGUAUAGA
RNAcentral lists this long non-coding RNA (796 nucleotides) under Ornithorhynchus anatinus (platypus). RNAcentral describes it as "lncRNA (ENSOANG00000049993.1)". The record is from RNAcentral. Lineage: Eukaryota; Metazoa; Chordata; Mammalia; Monotremata; Ornithorhynchidae.